GACGAACGCUGGCGGCGUGCUUAACACAUGCAAGUCAAGGGGCCCAGCAAUGGGCAACCGGCGAACGGGUGCGUAACACGUGAGCAACCUACCGAAAUGUGGGGGAUAGCCGGCCUAACGGCCGAGUAAUACCGCAUACGCUCUCGAUGAGGCAUUUCAUUGAGAGAAACCUACGGGACAUUUCGAGGGCUCGCGGCCUAUCAGCUAGUUGGCGAGGUAACGGCUCACCAAGGCGACGACGGUAGCUGGUCUGAGAGGAUGGCCAGCCACAUUGGGACUGAGAUACGGUCCAGACUCCUACGGGAGGCAGCAGUGGGGAAUCUUGCGCAAUGGCCUAACGGCUGACGCAGCGACGCCGCGUGUGGGAUGAAGC
RNAcentral lists this ribosomal RNA (373 nucleotides) under uncultured bacterium. RNAcentral describes it as "bacterial SSU rRNA". It matches the Rfam family "Bacterial small subunit ribosomal RNA", at positions 28 to 414 of the family's 1533-position model. The record is from RNAcentral.